This 315-nucleotide long non-coding RNA is filed under the name Carica papaya (papaya). Its description in RNAcentral is "long non-coding RNA (CPAP_LNC007604)". Lineage: Eukaryota; Viridiplantae; Streptophyta; Magnoliopsida; Brassicales; Caricaceae. The record is from RNAcentral.
UUGCUGAACCGGCUGAGCCUGGGGCUGUGGAGGAGGAUGCGUCGCCGGCUGGGUCUGCGGCUGCCGGAAGUUGAGGUCCUGCGGAUGAUGGUAGGGUUGGUGGAGAGUGAAAUGGGGAGGGAAUUGGUGAGGCUGAGGAGGGAAUUGGGGGUGGUGAUAGAGGGCAAAAUGGUCCUUGGGCGAGACAUGGAGCUGGGACUGGGUUUGGGUCUGGGUCUGGGUCUGGUUCUGGGUCUGGGUCUGUGGUUGCUGUUGCGGAGGCUGGGGCUGGGGCGGGGGCUGGGGCUGAGGCUGAGGCUGGGGCUGGGGCUGGGG